Molecule: transfer RNA, 102 nt
Filed under: Rhizoctonia solani 123E
Lineage: Eukaryota; Fungi; Basidiomycota; Agaricomycetes; Cantharellales; Ceratobasidiaceae
Rfam family: tRNA
About the family: Transfer RNA (tRNA) molecules are approximately 80 nucleotides in length. Their secondary structure includes four short double-helical elements and three loops (D, anti-codon, and T loops). Further hydrogen bonds mediate the characteristic L-shaped molecular structure. tRNAs have two regions of fundamental functional importance: the anti-codon, which is responsible for specific mRNA codon recognition, and the 3' end, to which the tRNAs corresponding amino acid is attached (by aminoacyl-tRNA synthetases). tRNAs cope with the degeneracy of the genetic code in two manners: having more than one tRNA (with a specific anti-codon) for a particular amino acid; and 'wobble' base-pairing, i.e. permitting non-standard base-pairing at the 3rd anti-codon position.
Source: Rfam by way of RNAcentral
GGGGUAGAAGCUCAGUGGUUGAGCGAUCGAUUGCAAAGUGCAUUACUUAAUGCGAGCGCAACUGGUAUCGAUAGGUCACGUGUUCGAUCCACGUCUAUCCCU